RNAcentral lists this ribosomal RNA (917 nucleotides) under uncultured archaeon. RNAcentral's name for it is "SSU rRNA". It matches the Rfam family "Archaeal small subunit ribosomal RNA", at positions 1 to 923 of the family's 1478-position model. The record is from RNAcentral.
UUUCCGGUUGAUCCUGCCGGACCUGACUGCUAUCGGAUUGAUACUAAGCCAUGCGAGUCUUUGCAGUAAUGCAAGGCAUACGGCUCAGUAACACGUAGUCAACCUACCCUAUGGACGAGAAUAAUCUCGGGAAACUGAGCAUAAUUCUUGAUAGAUCAUAAUGCCUGGAAUGGUUUAUGGUUAAAAUGAUUCGUCGCCAUAGGAUGGGACUGCGGCCUAUCAGCUUGUUGGUGAGGUAAUGGCCCACCAAGGCGAUUACAGGUACGGGCUCUGAGAGGAGAAGCCCGGAGAUGGGUACUGAGACACGGACCCAGGCCCUAUGGGGCGCAGCAGGCGAGAAAACUUUGCAAUGUGCGAAAGCACGACAAGGUUAAUCCGAGUGAUUUCUGCUAAAGAAAUCUUUUACCAGUCGUAAAACCGCUGGUGAAUAAGGGGUGGGCAAGUUCUGGUGUCAGCCGCCGCGGUAAAACCAGCACCUCAAGUGGUCAGGAUGAUUAUUGGGCCUAAAGCAUCCGUAGCCGGCUUUGUAAGUUUUCGGUUAAAUCCAUGUGCUCAACGCAUGGGCUGCCGAAAAUACUGCAUGGCUAGGGAGUGGGAGAGGUAGACGGUACUCAGUAGGUAGGGGUAAAAUCCUUUGAUCUAUUGAUGACCACCUGUGGCGAAGGCGGUCUACCAGAACACGUUCGACGGUGAGGGAUGAAAGCUGGGGGAGCAAACCGGAUUAGAUACCCGGGUAGCCCCAGCUGUAAACGAUGCAGACUAGAUGAUGCAUUGGCAUAAUAGCCAUUGCAGUGUCUCAGGGAAGCCGUUAAGUCUGCCGCCUGGGAAGUACGUACGCAAGUAUGAAACUUAAAGGAAUUGGCGGGGGAGCACCACAAGGGGUGAAGCCUGCGGUUCAAUUGGAGUCAACGCCGGGA